Molecule: transfer RNA, 68 nt
Filed under: Marmota monax (woodchuck)
Lineage: Eukaryota; Metazoa; Chordata; Mammalia; Rodentia; Sciuridae
Description: tRNA.Ala
Source: RNAcentral
GGUUUCUGGCUCAGUGGUAGAGCACUUGCCUAGCAUGUGUGAGGCACUGGGUUUGAAUCUCAGCACCA